RNAcentral lists this transfer RNA (69 nucleotides) under Petaurista alborufus (red and white giant flying squirrel). Its description in RNAcentral is "tRNA-Lys". It matches the Rfam family "tRNA". Rfam says of the family: Transfer RNA (tRNA) molecules are approximately 80 nucleotides in length. Their secondary structure includes four short double-helical elements and three loops (D, anti-codon, and T loops). Lineage: Eukaryota; Metazoa; Chordata; Mammalia; Rodentia; Sciuridae. The record is from RNAcentral.
CAUUAUGAAGCUAAUCAUAGCAUUAACCUUUUAAGUUAAAGAUUAGGAGCUCAAAUCUCCUCAUAAUGA